GACGAACGCUGGCGGCGUGCUCAACACAUGCAAGUCGAACGGAAAGGCCCUGCUUUUGUGGGGUGCUCGAGUGGCGAACGGGUGAGUACCACGUGAGUAACCUGCCCUUGUCUUUGGGAUAGCUUCAGGAAACUGGGGCUAAUACCGGAUAGGAGCUCCUGCUGCAUGGUGGGGGUUGGAAAGUUUCGGCGGUUGGGGAUGGACUCGCGGCUUAUCAGCUUGUUGGUGGGGUAGUGGCUUACCAAGGCUUUGACGGGUAGCCGGCCUGAGAGGGUGACCGGCCACAUUGGGACUGAGAUACGAGCCAGACGCCAUCGGGAGGCAGCAGUGGGGAAUAUUGCACAAUGGGCGGAAGCCUGAUGCAGCAACGCCGCGUGCGGGAUAACGGCCUUCGGGUUGUAAACCGCUUUCGCCUGUGACGAAGCGUGAGUGACGGUAAUGGGUAAAGAAGCACCGGCUAACUACGUG
This 468-nucleotide ribosomal RNA is filed under the name uncultured bacterium. RNAcentral describes it as "partial 16S ribosomal RNA". It matches the Rfam family "Bacterial small subunit ribosomal RNA", at positions 28 to 507 of the family's 1533-position model. The record is from RNAcentral.